This is a long non-coding RNA of Salvia miltiorrhiza (redroot sage), 1878 nucleotides long. RefSeq lists it as uncharacterized. Lineage: Eukaryota; Viridiplantae; Streptophyta; Magnoliopsida; Lamiales; Lamiaceae. The transcript is spliced from 2 exons. The record is from RefSeq and is a predicted model, not a curated record.
CACACCAGUCUUCGCCGUCAGAGAUAGCGGACGGCGGCGUUUGGCUGCCCAAGCCCCAAUUUCGUCCCCAAAUCCAUCCCUUCCCCCAUCGUAGAUGGUCCGUUGCAACUUGAUUAUUCACAGGGAUUUGAAGCCAUCCCAUCAGCUUAUUUCUGCAGAUGGAAUCCUCAUAAUCGCCGAUUUUGGCUAGUUUCUCGCCAAUGGCUGCCGCCGAUGCCCAACUUCUCCGAUCACCCAUCCUUUGCUCUCUCUCAGUUCGCCGCUAUCCUUAACAGAUACGCCACCCAUGGUAAGUAUUCUAUUAGGAAAGAUUACGUUUUGACUCUAAAUAUAGAAGCCGCUAUCAUUAGCAGAUACGCCAGCCAUGGUAAGUAUUCUAUUAGGAAAGAUUACGUUUUGACUAUAAAUGAUAACAUAUAUGCCAUCCAUGGUAAGUAUUCUAUUAGGAAAGAUUACGUUUUGACUCUAAAUAUAGAAUGAUGUUGGUCAAUUUUAUAAAAGAACAAAAUUUGGAAAGAAUUGAAAUGUAUACAAUCAUAGGAUGUAUAUUGGUUAUAUAGGUUUAAGAUUUAUUGAAUUGUUAGUGGUUUAAUUCUUUUCUUUCUCUAUACUGUAGUGGUUGAUAGUGUUGGUUGAUGAUGGUGAAAGAUAAGGUCUUAUCUUGAAGUAUAAGAACGGACCUUUUCCAGAAAUCCAAGGAAAUUUCUUAUUAUUUUAGUACGAACCCAAAAAACAAUUCAGUUUUACAAAAUCACCGCUCACCGGGUGUUGGGGACUGCCAGUCUACCAUUAUGAGGUGCGUUGUUAUAUAAUUUUUUUUUAUUUUUUAUCCGGUGUAUUGUUUGAUCUGCGAAUAUUCUUCUUCAUCUUUUUCUCUUUGCGAUUUCUGUCCGUAUCAAGUUAUAUAUGGAUUUGUUCUUAGAUUUACAUUUCAGAAUCGUUUGUUUUCUCUUUAUGCUGAUAUUGUCUAUUGAGUAAGAGAUCUAUAUCUGCAAAGAUAGUCGUUUAUUUUAUCUUUCUUUUUGCUUAUCUUAAUUUUUAAGAGUGGUGAAGUGGAUAGCUAAUACAUGAUCAAUAUAGCUAUUGAACGCUUGGUGAUAAAAUAUAUAUAUAUAUAUAUAUAUUGAAUAGUUGGUGUAUUAGAAAAGUUCCUGUCUUACUAUGAUGAUAAAGUUUUGUGUUUGCAUACACUGAGAUGCAUGUCUCUUGAGAUUUGAGGAUUGUUCAUUAGUAUUCCUAAAUCCUGAGUGUAUCUGGCGCCAAAUAGUCGAUCUCUAAUCGAAAUUUCCAACGUUGUUACCGAUGUGAUCCUAUCCUUAAUGGCAAUAAUUAGUUUAUAUGGCUUUGUUCUAUAUGUUGAUUUGAUUGGCUUGCUGCUUUGUUAGCUGUUGUUUCCUGACAGCACGUUUUUUAUUGUUCAAGUAAGUUUGUGUCUCUCAUUUUUUGACAAUUCACAUAGGAAAUAACAACAAACUUUCUAAUCAACGGCUAACAAUAUUGUGGGAAUGUUGCUUGACAGCAUAGAUUUUGAUGUGGAUGACGAGUCGGGUGGCUGUAGGUCCUGCUGUACCGAGUCAGGAGAAGGGGGAAGCUUUGGUGUGGUGUGUGUGUUGUUGGCCGAGUAGUCGAAUCAGGGGCAGAAGGCGAAGAUGGUGGCAGCGUAGGGCUGCCGCUAUUGGCCAAAGUGAGCAGAGGAUAGAGGGAGAAGAAGGUGAGAGGAAGAAAGAGAUGUGUGGUUCCACCAUUUUAGGUUUAAGGAUUUCAAAGGAUUUUGUAUAUUUUACUUUAUUGAUUUGUGGAAAUUUGAGUUGUUGUUGCUGCUGCUAGAAGUUGUGUUUUGUUAUUUGUAGUUGGGUAUUUAAGUUUAUGAGUUGUUAU